This 75-nucleotide transfer RNA is filed under the name Candidatus Brocadiaceae bacterium. Its description in RNAcentral is "tRNA-Arg". It matches the Rfam family "tRNA". From Rfam's summary of the family: Transfer RNA (tRNA) molecules are approximately 80 nucleotides in length. Their secondary structure includes four short double-helical elements and three loops (D, anti-codon, and T loops). The record is from RNAcentral. Lineage: Bacteria; Pseudomonadati; Planctomycetota; Candidatus Brocadiia; Candidatus Brocadiales; Candidatus Brocadiaceae.
GCCCCGGUAGCUCAGCAGGAUAGAGCAGCAGUUUCCUAAACUGGAGGUCAGAGGUUCGAAUCCUCUUCGGGGCAC